Molecule: ribosomal RNA, 465 nt
Filed under: uncultured bacterium
Lineage: Bacteria
Description: partial 16S ribosomal RNA
Rfam family: Bacterial small subunit ribosomal RNA
Source: RNAcentral
GACGAACGCUGGCGGCGUGCUUAACACAUGCAAGUCGAACUGAAAGGCCCUGCUUGCAGGGUACUCGAGUGGCGAACGGGUGAGUAACACGUGGGUGAUCUGCCCUGCACUUCGGGAUAAGCCUGGGAAACUGGGUCUAAUACCGGAUAGGAGCCAUUUUUAGUGUGAUGGUUGGAAAGUUUUUUCGGUGUAGGAUGAGCUCGCGGCCUAUCAGCUUGUUGGUGGGGUAAUGGCCUACCAAGGCGGCGACGGGUAGCCGGCCUGAAAGGGUGGACGGCCACAUUGGGACUGAGAUACGGCCCAGACUCCUACGGGAGGCAGCAGUGGGGAAUAUUGCACAAUGGGCGCAAGCCUGUUGCAGCGACGCCGCGUGGGGGAUGACGGCCUUCGGGUUGUAAACUCCUUUCGCUAGGGACGAAGCUUUUUGUGACGGUACCUAGAGAAGAAGCACCGGCUAACUACGUG